UACGGAGGGGGCUAGCGUUGUUCGGAAUUACUGGGCGUAAAACGCCCGUAGGCGGCUUUGUAAGUUAGAGGUGAAAGCCCAGGGCUUAACCCUGGAAUUGCCUUUAAGACUGCAUCGCUAGAAUCGUGGAGAGGUGAGUGGAAUUCCGAGUGUAGAGGUGAAAUUCGUAGAUAUUCGGAAGAACACCAGUGGCGAAGGCGACUCACUGGACACGUAUUGACGCUGAGGUGCGAAAGCGUGGGGAGCAAACAGG
RNAcentral lists this ribosomal RNA (253 nucleotides) under uncultured bacterium. RNAcentral describes it as "partial 16S ribosomal RNA". It matches the Rfam family "Bacterial small subunit ribosomal RNA", at positions 524 to 776 of the family's 1533-position model. The record is from RNAcentral.